Molecule: long non-coding RNA, 3320 nt
Filed under: Sus scrofa (pig)
Lineage: Eukaryota; Metazoa; Chordata; Mammalia; Artiodactyla; Suidae
Description: lncRNA (ENSSSCG00055009345.1)
Source: RNAcentral
AGCCAGCAAACCUAGGAGCCGGGAGAGCGAGCGCCGGGGAGGCAGAAAGGCGGCCGGCGAGCGAGCGCUCCUUCCUCCGGUUCCUCUAGCGCUUUUGCUCUGGGGCGGCGGCCACCCACCCUCUUCCGAACUCCGGAGCCCAGACGCCGGUCUGGGCGCUGCGGGGAUGCGGAGAGAGGAAUCCGAGCCGGCCCUGCAUUCUCCGGACUCGCAGUCCCGGUCGGAAAGGAGGCCUGAGCGGGACCCUGGGAUUGGGGCUGCGGUAGAACAAGCUGGGGGAGUGCGGCGGGAGCAGGAAAAAGAGAAGGCAUCCGGAGGAGGUGGCACCUGAUACCCUCUUGCCCCUUGCCCCCUUUUUACUCCAGCCACGCUGGUCCCUCCCCGAACUCGUUGCCAGCUUGUCUUUGCACUUGCCAGUCCUUCUGCCUGGAACUCCCUCCCCACUAUGCAUCCCUCCCCACCCCACCAUCUGAACAACCCUUCAACUCCCGGUGCCACUCAAGUGCCACUUCCUCCCAGACCAAGGUAGAUACGGUCCCUCCCCCUCCUCAUCCACACACGCACUUGUUUUCUUUAACUCCUCCCACUGUCUGGAAUGAGGUUGCUAUUCGUGCUUCUUUACUGUCUAGUUUCCCCACUAGAAAGGGAGCUGCUCCCAGGGGGCCAAGGCAGGCCUCCCUCAGAUGCCCUUGAACCCAGGGCCUGGUAGGCACUGCGGCUGCACAGUCGUUAUUUGUUGAAUGACUGAAAUUGUGUGAGCUGGAGAAUUCUCCCCCACCUCCUUCCCUUGGGGCCCCAAUAGCUCCUCCAUCUCUGAUACCCUAGAGCCAACACCGUUUGACCUUUCCCACCCGCCCUCACCUGGUGGCAUCUGAGGAGUGUGCAGCUGGCCAGCUGGCGCUGCAUCCAGUCACCUCUGAGCAUCUGUGCCUGAGACCCCACCAGACACUCCUGGCCUGUUCUCCCCUCCCCUCAUUCACUCAUCCCACGUGACCCUGAGCUGCCUGCUUGGGGCCCAGCUCGCACUGGACAAGGCACACAGGUGCCCCAGACAACUCAGAACCCGCUGUGGGACCUUAAGUGAACCGCUGGUCUUCACAGCCUCGGCUGCUUCAUCUGUAAAAAUGGGAGCAAAAUAACACUUGACCCAGAGUGGCAGUGAGGACCACGGGAUAAACCUCAGUCCUGCCUCCUUCCUUCCCUGGGGCUGCCCCAAGGAGGCAAACGCACAGACCAGUGCUUCCCCAGAUGCUGGGCUCGAUGGGGGGCAACUACAGGGAGUUUGAGACGAAAGGCAAGGGGCUGAGUUUGGACACGAGGGUUUCCUUUGAGGGGAGGGCUCUGGCUAAGCCUCACUUCGGGGAGGCAGAAGGCUCCCGGGCUGGUGAGGAGGAACCUGCUCUUCUGAAGGUUUCUGGAGCAGAGGUGGUUCUGCCAUGCAGCCCUCUGGGAGCUUUUGGAUAAGACGGCAGCCUGAGGGGCCACAUGGGAGAGGCCGGAGGCCAGGCGAAGAGAAGAGGGCCACAGGCUGCAGGUCCUGGCACUCGAGUCACAUCCUGGCCCUGGUUCACACGCCCAGGCUGUGAGAUGAAACGGGUCCUGCGCCUCUGCCCACCUGUCAGUCAAGGCACCGUGAAAGCGCCCCCACCUGCCCUUUGUCCAUUAACUCCUUCCUUCCACAAAGGUUUCCCGAGCACUUCCUGGGUGUCAGGCAGGGUGGGCUGCACAGGCAUGUGACCUGGGCAGGUGCCUGGCAGAGCCCCACUCUUGCCUCAUGCUCUGCUGUUGCCAUGUUUCAGCUCUUGAUAAUCUAUGAACAGAGGGUCCCUGCUUUCAUUUUGCACUGAGCCCUGCAAAUUGUGCGGCCCAUCCCGGGGCCAAGCGCAGUGCUGGGCUGGGGAGUACCGCUGAGUAAGCACACAGUGGCCUCCGUCGCGAGCUGGCUUUCCAGCCAGGCCAGACAAAGCAGGAAACUUAAACAUGGCUUGGGGGUAGGAGCGGACUGCCCAUUGUCCAUUGACUCUCUCCGGAUGGACAGGCAGGGCUUCCACACUCAUCUGCCAGAGCUGAGCGGAGCAGGUCCCCCGGGAGGGUCGCGGGGGAAGGACCCAGGAUAGUGUCUGUGGAGGGUGAGCACUAACGCAGAGAGCUGCUGAGGCAGCCGGAGGAGCUCUGGCUGGUCCGGGGUCCACGGGAGAGCGUGCAGCCCGGAUCAUUUCAGCCCGCGAUGUGUGACAGGAGUAAAUAAACAGGGAGCGGUGGUGGGAGGCGGGAGGAGGAUCUCCUGGAGCACAUGCCAUUGACCCGAGUCCUGGGAGGACCAGGAAGGGAGGCUUUCCCAGGGAAAGGCAUCCUAGGCAGAGUGAGGAACAGGCACCGGGCUCCGUCCACCCAGAGCUGCCUGUGCCCCCGGGGCUGGCUUCCGGGGACCAGGCCACUGCAAGUGCUAGGCUACCUCCAGCCAGCUGAGAGGAAGGGGUGCCUUUCCUCCAAAGUCUAAAAUACCAUGGUCCUGCCCUCUCUGCUUUUUAAUCCACUGUGAAAUAUGGGGGGGGGGGGAUUUUAAGAAGCUGUGGGUGGGGGCCACAGGUAUAGGUGCCCCCCGUCUCCAUCUGAAAACACCUGAUUGGUCAGCAUCUGCCCUGCAACAAGAAUUAUAGUUUACCCCUCUCUGCAUCUCAUUUGAGCCUGGCACACGGCAGGGGCUCCGUAAGCCCUGUUGAAUGAGUAGUAAUGGGCACGGCCCAUACCUAAACAGCAUAGUGGAUGGAGGGCUGACUGUGCAAGCGCCAGGCCGAGGCCUCUCGCAGAGCCCUCCCAGCGCCACCCUCCCUCUGGAUGACAUCUUUUCUCAUGUGAGAUGGAGACAAAAUGCUCUCCAAGUCUGAGACCCAGGAGAAACAAGGUUCCCAGUGAGUCCCCACCACCCACUAUUGAGCCUUAUCUUUCCUGUGUCCAUGGGGGAGGGAGAUUCUUUAUUUUCCCCAAGACUCCACAGGCACCCAGUGAGUGCUUGCUUGAUUGCUGAAUGAAUGCCUGCAUGCAAACCAGAGUAUCUGGCUGGGGGUUCCCACUGUGGCUCAGCAGGUUAAGAAUCCCACUAGUAUCCAUGAAGAUGUGGGUUCAAUCCCUGGCCUCACUCAGUGGGUUAAGGAUCGGGCACUGCUGUAAGCUGCGGCACAGCUCAUGGUUGCAGCUGGGAUCUGGCGUGGCUGUGGCGUAGGCCGGCAGCUGCAGCUCAGAUUUGACCCUUAGCCUAGGAACCUCCAUAUGCUGUAGGUACGGCUGGGUUUAAAAAAGAAAAAAAAAGAAAAAAAAAA